AUGUUCUUUGCUUUUGUUGUAGUGUCGGACAACGCUGAUUUGAUUCAAGGGAACACAGCUGAUGUAACCAGAAAAGAAGAUUUUAGAGAGAGUGCGAUUCUUGCUGUGUCANGCUUUGAUUUUGUUGUAGUGUUGGACAACGCUGAUUUGAUUCAAGGGAACAAAACUGCUGUAGUCAUAGAAGAAUGUUUUAAAGAGAAUGUGAUUCUUGCUGCGUCAUCUAUAGCUCUUGUGAUGUUCUUUGUACUUCUGGCUUCUAUUUGUGUGUUUUUUACAAAACGCAGGAUGAAAAAAGGGAAUUUUCGUCGUACCUUUAGACGCUCACGUGAACAGCAGAAAUCGGCAAAGGGUGGGACGAAAGCAGACGGCUCACACAAGAAACCCUCAGACUCAGAAACUGCACCUCUUAUUGACUGAAUUGAUGAGCUAUUCACUGAUGCUGCAUCAAAUCCCAGUAGAACCUCCUUGGCUGAAGACUCAGAUUAAAAGUGAAAUUAAAUAUAAUCUCGUUGCCAGCCACUGACAAGCUUUAAGAGAUGGCUUAUGAGCAACUAUGAUGUUGGUGCUCAGUUGACUUAGAGAGCUCUCUUAGUUUCUUGUAGCAUCAGAAUAGUGUGUCUUUAUUGUGUUUCACAUACAUCUUAUAUACCAUUCACUUACAAGCGAGACAUUCCUGAUCCUCUAACAGUUCCUCUAAUCAGUUAAUUGGUCCCAGCUUCUCUCAAACAACAGUGAUGAAGGAUGAAAGGUUUCUUAAGAGUAACAGGAUUAACAAUGCAUAUCAAUGGAACCUUCUGUCUACCCUUAGAUGCGAACAGACACUGCUUGCUCUUGUCUCUCACUCUGGUCUUCCAGGGCUUCAAAGUGAUAAAGUCUACCAAAGAAUCUGAUAAGCUCUUUGGUGACUUGCUCACAGUUACAUCUACCCCCACACUAUGAUUCUGGAAAUAGUGCUUGUGAUUCACUGAGUGUGUAAUUCAGUAUUCCCUGGAAUAAACUUCAUGUUCUAAUAGGAGGACUGUGUCUC
Molecule: long non-coding RNA, 1027 nt
Filed under: Coturnix japonica (Japanese quail)
Lineage: Eukaryota; Metazoa; Chordata; Aves; Galliformes; Phasianidae
Description: lncRNA (ENSCJPG00005003627.1)
Source: RNAcentral